Molecule: ribosomal RNA, 397 nt
Filed under: uncultured bacterium
Lineage: Bacteria
Description: partial 16S ribosomal RNA
Rfam family: Bacterial small subunit ribosomal RNA
Source: RNAcentral
AUACGUAGGGGGCGAGCGUUGUCCGGAAUGAUUGGGCGUAAAGGGCGCGUAGGCGGCGCGGUAAGUCUGGAGUGAAAGUCCUGCUUUCAAGGUGGGAAUUGCUUUGGAUACUGCCGCGCUUGAGUGCAGGAGAGGUUAUCGGAAUUCCCGGUGUAGCGGGGAAAUGCGUAGAGAUCGGGAGGAACACCAGUGGCGAAGGCGGGUAACUGGACUGCAACUGAGGCUGAGGCGCGAAAGUGUGGGGAGCAAACAGGAUUAGAUACCCUGGUAGUCCACACUGUAAACGAUGAAUGCUAGGUGUAAGAGGUAUCGACCCCUUUUGUGCCGGAGUCAACACAAUAAGCAUUCCGCCUGGGGAGUACGGCCGCAAGGUUGAAACUCAAAGGAAUUGACGGGG